Oncorhynchus keta (chum salmon) is the source of this 898-nucleotide long non-coding RNA. RefSeq lists it as uncharacterized. The record is from RefSeq and is a predicted model, not a curated record. NCBI's taxonomy places the organism in Eukaryota, Metazoa, Chordata, Actinopteri, Salmoniformes, Salmonidae. The transcript is spliced from 3 exons.
CACUAGGUCUAUCUAUCAGUAUAGGCAGGUCAGACACCAGACAGACAGAACAGGGCACUAGGUCUAUCUAUCAGUAUAGGCAGGUCAGCCACCAGACAGAACAGGGCACUAGGUCUAUCUAUCAGUAUAGGCAGGUCAGACACCAGACAGACAGAACAGGGCACUAGGUCUAUCUAUCAGUAUAGGCAGGUCAGACACCAGACAGACAGAACAGGGCACUAGGUCUAUCUAUCAGUAUAGGCAGGUCAGACACCAGACAGACAGAACAGGGCACUAGGUCUAUCUAUCAGUAUAGGCAGGUCAGACACCAGACAGAACAGGGCACUAGGUCUAUCUAUCAGUAUAGGCAGGUCAGACACCAGACAGAACCGGGCACUAGGUCUAUCUAUCAGUAUAGGCAGGUCAGCCACCAGACAGAACAGGGCACUAGGUCUAUCUAUCAGUAUAGGCAGGUCAGACACCAGACAGACAGAACAGGGCACUAGGUCUAUCUAUCAGUAUAGGCAGGUCAGACACCAGACAGACAGAACAGGGCACUAGGUCUAUCUAUCAGUAUAGGCAGGUCAGACACCAGACAGACAGAACAGGGCACUAGGUCUAUCUAUCAGUAUAGGCAGGUCAGACACCAGACAGAACAGGGCACUAGGUCUAUCUAUCAGUAUAGGCAGGUCAGACACCAGACAGAACAGGGCACUAGGUCUAUCUAUCAGUAUAGGCAGGUCAGACACCAGACAGAACCGGGCACUAGGUCUAUCUAUCAGUAUAGGCAGGUCAGACACCAGACAGAACAGGGCACUAGGUCUAUCUAUCAGUAUAGGCAGGUCAGACACCAGACAGACAGAACAGGGCACUAGGUCUAUCUAUCAGUAUAGGCAGGUCAGACACCAGACAGACAGAA